CGCGGCCUAUCAGCUUGUUGGUGGGGUGAUGGCCUACCAAGGCGACGACGGGUAGCCGGCCUGAGAGGGCGACCGGCCACACUGGGACUGAGACACGGCCCAGACUCCUACGGGAGGCAGCAGUGGGGAAUCUUGCGCAAUGGGCGAAAGCCUGACGCAGCGACGCCGCGUGAGGGAUGACGGCCUUCGGGUUGUAAACCUCUUUCAGCCCUGACGAAGCGAAAGUGACGGUAGGGGCAGAAGAAGCACCGGCCAACUACGUGCCAGCAGCCGCGGUAAUACGUAGGGUGCAAGCGUUGUCCGGAAUUAUUGGGCGUAAAGAGCUCGUAGGUGGCCUGUCGCGUCGGCUGUGAAAACUCGGGGCUCAACUCCGAGCUUGCAGUCGAUACGGGCAGGCUAGAGUGCGGCAGGGGAGACUGGAAUUCCUGGUGUAGCGGUGAAAUGCGCAGAUAUCAGGAGGAACACCGGUGGCGAAGGCGGGUCUCUGGGCCGAUACUGACACUGAGGAGCGAAAGCGUGGGGAGCGAACAGGAUUAGAUACCCUGGUAGUCCACGCCGUAAACGGUGGGCGCUAGGUGUGGGUUCCUUCCACGGAAUCCGUGCCGUAGCUAACGCAUUAAGCGCCCCGCCUGGGGAGUACGG
RNAcentral lists this ribosomal RNA (642 nucleotides) under uncultured bacterium. Its description in RNAcentral is "bacterial SSU rRNA". It matches the Rfam family "Bacterial small subunit ribosomal RNA", at positions 232 to 885 of the family's 1533-position model. The record is from RNAcentral.